Xenopus laevis (African clawed frog) is the source of this 706-nucleotide long non-coding RNA. RefSeq lists it as uncharacterized. The record is from RefSeq and is a predicted model, not a curated record. Lineage: Eukaryota; Metazoa; Chordata; Amphibia; Anura; Pipidae. The transcript is spliced from 3 exons.
CAUUGCCCCCCCCACCUCUGGCCCCAUCUUCGGCCCUCCCACCUUGGGUCACCUGUCAUCGACCCUGAACUAAGGCUCUCUAUCUCUGGGCCCCUGGCUUUUCCAUCUCUAAUUGUGGGUGGCACUUAGUAUUGAACUGGGGGCAGAGCUGACUGUGGUGUCAGGUAACUAACAGGGCGCAGGAAGAAACUUGUGGCGCGUGAUGAUUCCAUGGGAUGAAUUCAUCUCUUCUGCUGAUGCCACAAGCUUUAAUGUCCCUGGCACCUCGAAGGCUCACCUUUCAGUUCACUUACUAUGGGCUAUCUGCAUUAUUUCUAUCAUACAUUCUUUCUUAUGCUUUUCAGCUGGUGUUUGAUCUUAUGAAAAUGUGGAGGUAAAUAUCUUCUUCAUAAACGUGGUGCAGCUUUUGUAUAGUUGCACAUAAAUAGUCACUCUGUGUUUUGUUACUUGUCUUUGAGAUUUUGCUAAGAAAUCUGUGAACCUAUUUCUUUCCUUCAACGCCCAACCGCGGACUUCUUUGAGGAAUUGUGUCCAGAAUUCAGCAUAUGGUAAAGCAAAGACGGUGCCUCUACAUACCAAAAGCUGGUGUUUGAUCUUAUGAAAAUGUGGAGAUUUUGCUAAGAAAUCUGUGAACCUAUUUCUUUCCUUCAACGCCCAACCGCGGACUUCUUUGAGGAAUUGUGUCCAGAAUUCAGCAUAAGGUAAA